This 490-nucleotide ribosomal RNA is filed under the name uncultured bacterium. RNAcentral describes it as "partial 16S ribosomal RNA". It matches the Rfam family "Bacterial small subunit ribosomal RNA", at positions 30 to 507 of the family's 1533-position model. The record is from RNAcentral.
AUUGAACGCUGGCGGCAGGCCUAACACAUGCAAGUCGAACGGUAACAGGAAGAAGCUUGCUUCUUUGCUGACGAGUGGCGGACGGGUGAGUAAUGUCUGGGAAACUGCCUGAUGGAGGGGGAUAACUACUGGAAACGGUAGCUAAUACCGCAUAACGUCGCAAGACCAAAGAGGGGGACCUUCGGGCCUCUUGCCAUCGGAUGUGCCCAGAUGGGAUUAGCUUGUUGGUGGGGUAACGGCUCACCAAGGCGACGAUCCCUAGCUGGUCUGAGAGGAUGACCAGCCACACUGGAACUGAGACACGGUCCAGACUCCUACGGGAGGCAGCAGUGGGGAAUAUUGCACAAUGGGCGCAAGCCUGAUGCAGCCAUGCCGCGUGUAUGAAGAAGGCCUUCGGGUUGUAAAGUACUUUCAGCGGGGAGGAAGGGAGUAAAGUUAAUACCAUUGCUCAUUGACGUUACCCGCAGAAGAAGCACCGGCUAACUCCGUG